UGGGGAAUCUUGCGCAAUGGGCGAAAGCCUGACGCAGCGACGCCGCGUGAGGGAAGAAGGCCUUCGGGUUGUAAACCUCUUUCAGGAGGGACGAAGCCACUCGGGUGAAUAGCCCAGAGGGUGACGGUACCUCCAGAAGAAGCCCCGGCUAACUACGUGCCAGCAGCCGCGGUAAUACGUAGGGGGCAAGCGUUGUCCGGAUUUAUUGGGCGUAAAGAGCGUGUAGGCGGCUUCACAGGUCCGCUGUAAAAACUCGAGGCUCAACCUCGAGCUGUCGGUGGAAACCGUGUGGCUAGAGUCCGGAAGAGGAGAGUGGAAUUCCCGGUGUAGCGGUGAAAUGCGCAGAUAUCGGGAAGAACACCCGUGGCGAAGGCGGCUCUCUGGGACGGUACUGACGCUGAGACGCGAAAGCGUGGGGAGCGAACAGGAUUAGAUACCCUGGUAGUCCACGCCGUAAACGAUGGGUGCUAGGUGUGGGGGGUGUCGACUCCCUCCGUGCCGAAGCUAACGCAUUAAGCC
Molecule: ribosomal RNA, 519 nt
Filed under: uncultured Actinomycetes bacterium
Lineage: Bacteria; Bacillati; Actinomycetota; Actinomycetes
Description: bacterial SSU rRNA
Rfam family: Bacterial small subunit ribosomal RNA
Source: RNAcentral